Chrysemys picta bellii (western painted turtle) is the source of this 1847-nucleotide long non-coding RNA. RefSeq lists it as uncharacterized. Lineage: Eukaryota; Metazoa; Chordata; Testudines; Emydidae. The record is from RefSeq and is a predicted model, not a curated record.
AUAAGAACAUCCCCUAAAUAAAACAAACACUAGACUAGAGAAGGAGGGUAGACUGCUUCCAUUCCCAGCUAAACUCUGGGGAUUAUUUUGCCCCAUAACCGUGGGUUCGCCCUAGCUAAAGAUCCAGCCAUUGAGGAGGUCUUCUGUCUCUAGGUAGAUUACGGUGAACUUCUGAUGUUGUUGCACUCAAAAGUACCUUGGGCGCAAGCUUGACAAUGGGCUCAGGGUUCGCAGUGCAAACGGGUGAGGAGGUGGUAUCAGCUCAUGCCAGGCAAAGGGGUAUCUCAGCCACCGGCAGUAAUGGAGGAGAACAGUCAGGAACAGGUGAUUCUUGAUUCGGUGUCUUGCCAGAAGAGGUGAAGUCAGACAACUCAACUGAAGAUGUGUCCUGAGGACUGGCAUGACCUGGCAACAGCUGAUCUAUAUGUCGCUGCCAGAGUGGAAGCCAUUGCGUGCGAUGAAGCUUCUGAGGUUGAAUUGGGAUCCUUCUGUCCCAUCCCCUGUAGCGGUCAGUAUUAGUAGAAAUUCCUGUAAUAGGAUCCUAUUAGGCCAUAAUUCCCUCUGUUCUCUGUGUAAUUCUCUGUUAGAGUGUCAGCAGGCAGAUGGGUGGGUCUCUGGUAAAACCUUCUAAGGAUAGUCCUUUGGAUUAUAUGUUAAGCAAAUGUCCCUUACCCGGUGUUCAAAAAGGGGAUGUCAAGGAAGUGUUUUUUACAACUUUGCACCCAGGAUUGGCCAGCCCUGGGGACUGCAUGGCCCGAGUAUGGCUCCUUUGAUAUUCCUACCCAUUUAACUCCCUUGAACCUGACAAGCGCCGGGGCAAAUGGAUUAUUGGUUUUUGUGGGACAAUGAGGCUCAUCAUCACUUGAAGAAGGUUCAGAUUCAGGCCCCUCUAUUCCUGAAAGCUUCUGCCCCUCACAAAGCUGACUGUUGGGAGGAUAUCCCCCCCCAUGUAUUGCCCUAGACCACGGCCACCCCCGGUGGCAGCAUUACCAAUUGUGGCGGACCUGGUACCCUCCUCAACGGAGCCCGGGGCAGCAGUUCUACCGAGACAGAUCCCGCCAACAAAGAUUGAAGAUGCCACAAUGCAGGUCAGCGAAUCAGCUAGUGGAGCCACCGGCAGUGGGUACACUACUUCCCUGUCUGUUCCCAUCCUUAGUCCAUCCCAUACAAGGAAGGGGGCACUCUAUGGGGAAGAGACCUUAUGAACUGGCAAACCACUACGCCUUGCCUUAGGGACGACCUGGACGUCGUUCACAGGCGAUUCCGUGCCAUUUUCCAGUCUCAUAAUCCUGAUUGGCAAGACGUGGGCCAACUUUUAGAUUGCCUAUUGCGCACGGAAGAGAAAGAGCAGGUACUGAGGGGGGCCUGGGAGGCUGCAGAGGCCACCAACGAUGGUCACAAUUUUAUAAGGUUCGUCAAUCCGCCCCGUUGGAACCCGAAUGAUUUGACCCAACAAUCAGAUCUGAAGAAAUUCCUAGACUAUAUUUUGACAGGCAUAAAACAAGCGGGAGAAAGAACUUUAGAUUGGACAAAGGUCCAUAAUACUGUGCAAGGGAAAGAAGAACACCCUUCUGACUUUUAUGAGAGACUUUGUAAAGCAUUUUGUAUCCAUACUAAUAUAGAUCCCAAGGCCAUGGACACACAGUCCACGGUCAGGCUUAUUUUUAUUUCCCAGUCAGCCCUGGACAUCAAGAAGUGGUUGCAGCAGCUUGAGGGCACUGAAGGAAAAUCCCUGGAGGAACUGGUAAGCGUGGCCACCCGGGUAUAUCAUACAAGGAAAAAAGUUCAAGAGACCAAACAGGUGAGGAUGCUAGCAGCCCUUGUAAACACUGGAAAUGAAAAACAGG